This is a long non-coding RNA of Clupea harengus (Atlantic herring), 1158 nucleotides long. Lineage: Eukaryota; Metazoa; Chordata; Actinopteri; Clupeiformes; Clupeidae. The record is from Ensembl.
GGGAGAGAGAAGGACAGAGAGAGAAAGUACAGGUGAAGGAGUAAUAUCUAAGGGGUCCUUAUCACUGAGCUGUGCAUACUCUAACACUGAGCAUCUGGGAUACCUUAUGUUUUCCCCUCUAGCGCAAGUACUUGGUCCAGGUGAUCCCUUGUGACCAUUCCCUUGUCAUUGAAGACUGCUGUCUGUGGAACUGUCUGUGCUUCUAGGAGUGAUAUCUCUCCCGAUCAUGCAGAGAACGUUUGGAUGUUGAUGGUUUUGUUCCUGUUUCAUCAUUUCAUUUUGGUUUAUUUGCAAAAAGUGUAAAUAACUUUGCUGAGGAAAUAAAAAACAAAAAGAAAAAUGGGCAAAUUAUGUAAUUUAAUGAUGGAUUUGAAUAUCCUACAUUUCAAAUGAAAUAAUGUUAGCAGUUUUUUAAGGAUGCCUCAGAAUGCCUCAGCCACCUGUUCCCAGCUGCAAUUGGAGAAUAACUGAAACAAGGAAAGGAGGAGAGGCAGUGGAGUCGCCGUGCAGUACACUCAUGAGAAAUGGGAACUCCACUAGGAGCUGACAGGACAACCCAGAGCAGAAGAUGGAUGGUGAGUGUCCAUCGGCCCCGUCUUUAUACCUGUUAAGGGUAAAACUUCCAAAAGCAUCACCAAACAGUUGUAGAGAUCAAAGAAGGAGGAAAAAUGGCCUCUCUUCAAUUUUAGCCCCUUCCUCCGUACAGAACAGCUUCAAGUUCAGGACUUUGACUUGGCCAUUACAAAACAUAAACUCUUAUUCUUCUUCUUUUACCAACCUUUGGGAGAUUGAUUUGUGUUUUUGGGGGUUGUGGUCUUGCUGCAUGACCCACGUGUCUUGAGAUUCACUUCAGACAGACAUCCUCACAUUUUCUUUUGGAAUUUGCUGGGAUAAUUCAUAAUGCAUUGAGCUGUCCAGGCCCAGCUGCAAAACAGACCCCAACCAUGAUCCUCCCAUCCCCUCGUGUCACAGAUGGUAUAAGGUUCUUCUGCUUGUGUCACAGAUGGAAUAAGGUUCUUAUGCUUGUGUCACAGAUGGUAUAAGGUUCUUAUGCUUGUUUCACAGAUGGAAUAAGGUUCUUCUGCUUGUGUCACAGAUGGUAUAAGGUUCUUAUGCUUGUUUAACAGAUGGUAUAAGGUUCUUAUGCUUGUUUCACAG